CCUGCCCACCCACUGCCACACAAAGCCUGAGAGCUGCGGAGCUCUCCUGGGAAUGUAUGGUCAAUACCUCAGGAAGGACACUUACUGCCUGCCUCCCAGCUCAUGGAAUGCUGUCACACGUGUCACAUGCAUGAAUCUUCUAUGUCUACUGGGUCUAAUAGUCUGUACAUGCAAACAACCAUGACUCAUAUACAACUUGGUUAAUGCUACUGAGCGAGAUGAUUUUUUAAAUUCUGUUUCUCUCUUAACAUUUGAAAAAACAUUCCAGAAACUAUCUCAUCUGACAGAUACCAAGACUUAUAUUUUGUGAGAAGUCUACUGAUGUGCAUGCAGCAAUGCAAUCAGGAACUGUGGAUCAAGUGGUUCCAUGGUGUGGGCUACCCUCCUCAGCUGGAUUCCCUGGAUGUCUGCAAAGGAUAUCCUGUAUCUUCUUCUGCAUCACAUCACAGCUUUUGCACAAGGACUGCAAAUGGUGUCCACUGACUGGAGCCAACAGGCUGGUGGGCUGAAACACUUUUUGCUGCAGAGAAGAGAUUAAACUUGGACUCCAUUAAGAGACUGUAGUUGGAAGGUAUAACUUUGGGCUGAAUGGCUUUAAGGAGUUUACAGGAGACCUUGUGGUAAUGAUAAAACUGAUGUAGUCAUUUCUAUUCUAAGCUUUAAAACUGGAGGCAUGUAAACAGAUAUUAUAUCAAGAAGAAGACAAAAUUAAUCUGUAGCUAUUGAUUAAAGUUUCUGCAGACAUGAAAAGAAACAUAAAAGUAAAUAAAUGUUUUUUUAUUAAACCUUUGUCCUGUUAAAUGACAGGAAUCUACAUUCAACUAGCAUAGUGUGAUUUACUCUUAUGGUAACAAGAAAACUUGAGGCAGAAAC
This is a long non-coding RNA of Prinia subflava (tawny-flanked prinia), 873 nucleotides long. RefSeq lists it as uncharacterized. The transcript is spliced from 4 exons. Lineage: Eukaryota; Metazoa; Chordata; Aves; Passeriformes; Cisticolidae. The record is from RefSeq and is a predicted model, not a curated record.